Small nucleolar RNA from Erpetoichthys calabaricus (reedfish), 74 nucleotides. Lineage: Eukaryota; Metazoa; Chordata; Cladistia; Polypteriformes; Polypteridae. The record is from Ensembl.
AGAUGAUGAAAGUUAAACUGAAAAUAGCUGGAAUUACCGGCAGAUUGUCAGUGGUGAUAGCCAGUUUUCUGAAA